AACUUGUCCCGUCAAUUACAAGAAUUCAUUCAAGGAACUUACAAGAGCAAAGGCAAGGAAACAGAGGAAAGUUCACGUAGCUGUAACAACUAUGAAGGCGGCAACAAUAGACUUCAUGGAAAAACAAAAGCGAGACCCGAGGCAGGGAUAGUGCCAAAGUAUAUGAAGUUGAAUUUUUUAAUGUUUGUGUUAGAAUCCCUCAAUUAGUG
Molecule: unclassified non-coding RNA, 209 nt
Filed under: Hevea brasiliensis (rubber tree)
Lineage: Eukaryota; Viridiplantae; Streptophyta; Magnoliopsida; Malpighiales; Euphorbiaceae
Source: RNAcentral